RNAcentral lists this ribosomal RNA (253 nucleotides) under uncultured bacterium. Its description in RNAcentral is "partial 16S ribosomal RNA". It matches the Rfam family "Bacterial small subunit ribosomal RNA", at positions 524 to 776 of the family's 1533-position model. The record is from RNAcentral.
GACGUAGGGUGCGAGCGUUGUCCGGAUUUAUUGGGCGUAAAGAGCUCGUAGGCGGCUCGUCGCGUCGACCGUGAAAACCCGCAGCUUAACUGCGGGCUUGCGGUUGAUACGGGCGGGCUAGAGUUCGGUAGGGGAGACUGGAAUUCCUGGUGUAGCGGUGAAAUGCGCAGAUAUCAGGAGGAACACCGGUGGCGAAGGCGGGUCUCUGGGCCGAUACUGACACUGAGGCGCGAAAGCGUGGGGAGCGAACAGG